GCUCCGUUGGUGAACCAGCGGAGGGAUCAUUACAGAGUUUUCACAACUCCCAACCCUUGCGACCCGUACCCAUUCUGUUCUCGUUGCUUCCGGCGCGGGGGGCGGGGGGGCCCGCAACGGCCUCCCCGCCCCCCCCGUCGCGGGCGGCGGGCACGACGAACCAUUAUAUCUACAACACCAAAAAACGUCUCAGAAAACAAACACAAUAAUCAAAACUUUCAACGACGGAUAUCUCGGCCCUGGCAUCGACGAAGAAAGCAGCAGAUCGGAAAAGCACAC
RNAcentral lists this unclassified non-coding RNA (279 nucleotides) under plant metagenome. RNAcentral's name for it is "partial contains small subunit ribosomal RNA, internal transcribed spacer 1, and 5.8S ribosomal RNA". The record is from RNAcentral.